This 330-nucleotide ribosomal RNA is filed under the name uncultured Actinomycetes bacterium. RNAcentral describes it as "bacterial SSU rRNA". It matches the Rfam family "Bacterial small subunit ribosomal RNA", at positions 28 to 351 of the family's 1533-position model. The record is from RNAcentral. Lineage: Bacteria; Bacillati; Actinomycetota; Actinomycetes.
GACGAACGCUGGCGGCGUGCUUAACACAUGCAAGUGGAGCGACGAACCGGGCUUCGGCCCGGGGCAAAGCCGCGAACGGGUGAGUAACACGUGGGUAACCUGCCCCAAAGACCGGGACAACCCGAGGAAACUCGGGCUAAUACCGGAUGUGUUCACCGUCCACAAGGACAGUGAGAAAAGGAAGCUUCGGCCUCCGCUUUGGGAUGGGCCCGCGGCCCAUUAGCUUGUUGGUGAGGUAACGGCUCACCAAGGCUUCGAUGGGUAGCUGGUCUGAGAGGACGAUCAGCCACACUGGGACUGAGACACGGCCCAGACUCCUACGGGUGGCAG